Molecule: transfer RNA, 73 nt
Filed under: Marmota monax (woodchuck)
Lineage: Eukaryota; Metazoa; Chordata; Mammalia; Rodentia; Sciuridae
Description: tRNA.Ala
Source: RNAcentral
UGUACACAGCUCAAUGGUAGAGUACUUGCCCAGCAUGCACAAGGUCCUGGGUUCGAUCCCCAGUACUGAACAA